GGAGCAGACUUUCAUCAUGAUCAAGCCUGAUGGUGUCCAACGUGGCCUGGUUGGUGAGAUUAUCAGCAGAUUUGAGAAGAAAGGAUUCUCUUUGAAAGGCUUGAAGCUCAUUACUGUGGACCGUGCCUUUGCUGAGAAGCAUUACGCAGACUUGUCGGCGAAGCCUUUCUUUAAUGGGCUUGUUGAGUAUAUUGUUUCUGGACCUGUUGUUGCUAUGGUCUGGGAGGGUAAGGGUGUAGUUGCCACUGGCAGGAAGAUCAUUGGAGCAACCAACCCCUUGGAGUCUGCUGCUGGAACUAUCCGUGGUGAUUUUGCUAUUGACAUUGGCAGGAAUGUCAUCCAUGGAAGUGAUGCUGUUGAGAGUGCUAGGAAGGAGAUCGCUCUUUGGUUCCCUGAAGGAAUCGCGGAGUGGCAGAGCAGCCUUCACUCUUGGAUCUAUGAAUAGAAGAGUUUUAUGAAUUUAGAACUCUCUUUAUGCUGUUAGCCUGUUUGGUUUUAACUUAUGAAUUUUGUAUGUCAUUUGAAUCUAGAAGUUUGGUAUUUGAGAUUUAAUGAUGUUCCUUAUUUCUAGCAUAUUUUAUAUGUGAUAUUUGAUCUUAUGUGUGUGCUGUUUCAAGCUAGUAAAUUUUAAGCAUGUUUGCUUCACUUGUUUCUCUAUUUUUGUAAAAGAAAA
RNAcentral lists this unclassified non-coding RNA (673 nucleotides) under Hevea brasiliensis (rubber tree). The record is from RNAcentral. Lineage: Eukaryota; Viridiplantae; Streptophyta; Magnoliopsida; Malpighiales; Euphorbiaceae.